UAUUCAUAUCUAUCCACGCUGUCAGGAAAAUUGGACUCUAGAAUAUGCAAGGCUCAAAGCAAGGGUGGAAGUCUUAGAGAGAAAUCAAAGGAAUUUUAUGGGACAAGAUCUGCAAUGCUUAAGUCUAAAAGAGCUUCAGAAUUUAGAACAGCAGCUUGAUUCUGCCCUCAAACAAGUUAGAUCACGAAGGAACCAACUCAUAUAUGAGGAUAUCUCAGUGCUUCAG
Non-coding RNA from Arachis ipaensis, 226 nucleotides. NCBI's taxonomy places the organism in Eukaryota, Viridiplantae, Streptophyta, Magnoliopsida, Fabales, Fabaceae. The record is from RefSeq and is a predicted model, not a curated record.